CCCUUAGAUGUUCUGGGCCGCACGCGCGCUACACUGAUGCAUUCAACGAGCCUAUCCUUGACCGACAGGUCCGGGUAAUCUUUGAAUCUGCAUCGUGACGGGGAUAGAUUAUUGCAAUUAUUAAUCUUCAACGAGGAAUGCCUAGUAGGCGCAAGUCAUCAGCUUGCGUCGAUUGCGUCCCUGCCCUUUGUACACACCGCCCGUCGCUCCUACCGAUUGGGUGUGCUGGUGAAAUGUUCGGAUCGGCCGUUUGUCGCGGUUUCCGCGGCUCGUGGCUGAGAAGUUCAUUAAACCCUCCCACCUAGAGGAAGGAGAAGUCGUAACA
Molecule: ribosomal RNA, 325 nt
Filed under: uncultured eukaryote
Lineage: Eukaryota
Description: partial 18S ribosomal RNA
Rfam family: Eukaryotic small subunit ribosomal RNA
Source: RNAcentral